AUGAUUAGACACACCCCAUCUGAGAAGUCUUCCCUCAUUUAAAUGUGGGGCAGUGAUGGCUGAUUUCCCCCUGAACUUGGGAAGUGGGGAGAAGGGAAAGAAACAUCUUUCUUAUGCCAGGAGCUUGGCAUAAGAAACCUCACCAAAGCCUCGGAGGCGGGUCUCAUGAGGACCCACUUCACAGGUGGCAAGCCUGAGCCUGCCAAGCAGUGGCUGCUGAGUGGCAGAGCCAGGAUUCACACUUCGGCUCCCAAAAAUAGCCAGGGUGUGUGCUGCAAGACCACAUUCCACUCGAACUUACGGCCUCCAUCUCUGCAGGAGCAGCCCCCUUAAUGGGGAGCAGAGUAAAACCACUGAGGACAGGACUCCUCUGGGACCUUGGCUGCCUUUGGUGAGGUGGAGUCACACACCUUACCCACUGACUGUCUGCAUGACUUGGGCCAGGGCUUCCACCUGCCGAGGAGCCUGUCUCCUUAGCAGUCAAAUGGGGAUUAAUAAGGAAUUCUUUCUUCAAUGAAGGAAUGAGGUCACGUGCCUUGUGAUGGUUGGUGAGAACAGGUCCAUCUGCAUCUGAGUGGUGGGCACCCAGAUGCCUGCAGAGCACAUCCUCACACACUGCAUGUGGCCUAAGGGACCUGAGAGAAUGUCUCAGGAUAAAUAUCAAGGAGCGGAAUUGCUACUUCUCGGGUGGGUGUAACUUCAUGUGCAUAAGAACCGGGAGAUUAGGAGAUGGCUUUCUUGAUUGGUUCCACCGGUGACCACUCCCACUCAGGACACCAGAGAUUCUCUAUGCCACGCCCAUGCCAGCACUUGGCAUAACCCAGCUUUCUAAUUCCUGCCAGUCUAAUCAAUGUAAGGUGAUAGCUCACUGUUAUUUUAAUUUGCAUUUCUCUGGUUACUAAUGAGUUUGCCCAUCUCUUCCUGAGCUGUUUGGCCUUUUCUGUUUCCACUUCUAUAAAUUGCUGGUUUAAUACAUUUGGUGCAUUUUUCCACUGGGUCCACUAUCUGAAAAACCUCCUCUGAGCUCCCAUCUGGCCAGCCUCCUUGGCUCCUUUGGAAGCCUGCACUGGCCCCUAGUGUCCUGGGCUGUCUGCACUCCCGUAAUUCCCUGGGUAUCACCUCCCAAGCCAGGGGCAGGGACUGUGUUGCAUCCUUACCCCUGCUCACCCAUCUGCCUCACUCAUUCACCCACUGGGUUCCCUUCACAACUGGGAUAAAAUUGAAACUCCUAACCAUAGCCAGAGGGUCCACUUUGGCCCCAGCUGACCCUGAGCACUUUUGAUGUCCCUGCUCACUUGCUUAAGUCACUUGGGCUUCCUGGCUGGGUCUGACCUGCCAUGCUCCUCCCCACCCUCCCUUCCUCCAGGCAGGCCCUCGUUUAGAAGUCACCUCCUCCCAGCCACGUAUGGUGGCUCAUGCCUGUAAUCCCAACACUUUAGAAGGGUGAGAAGGGCAGAUCACAAGGUCAGGAGUUCGAGACCAGCCUGGCCGAUGUGGUGAAACCCCAUCUCUACUAAAAAUAUAAAAAUUAGCCGGGCAUGGUAGUAGGUGCCUGUAGUCCCAGCUACUUGGGAGGCUGAGGCAGGAGAAUCACUUGAAUCUGGGAGGUGGAGGUUGCAAUGAGCAGAGAUUGCGUCACUGCACUCCAGCCUGGGCAACAGAGCAAAA
This is a long non-coding RNA of Macaca fascicularis (crab-eating macaque), 1668 nucleotides long. The record is from Ensembl. NCBI's taxonomy places the organism in Eukaryota, Metazoa, Chordata, Mammalia, Primates, Cercopithecidae.